This 243-nucleotide long non-coding RNA is filed under the name Salvia miltiorrhiza (redroot sage). RNAcentral describes it as "long non-coding RNA (SMIL_LNC003351)". Lineage: Eukaryota; Viridiplantae; Streptophyta; Magnoliopsida; Lamiales; Lamiaceae. The record is from RNAcentral.
UCUGCUCUGGCAUCUCUGCUCUGGCAACUUGGCUCUGGCCCUCUGCUUUGGAACCUCUGCUCUGGUUAGCUCUGGCUCUGUCAGCUCUGCUCUGGUUAGCACUGGCUCUGGCAUCUCUGCUCUGGCAACUCUGCUCUGGUUAGCACUGGCUCUGGCAUCUCUGCUCUGGCAACGUGGCUCUGACCCUCUGCUCUGGAAGCUCUGCUCUGGUUAGCUCUGGCUCUGGCAGCUCUGCUCUGGAAG